AAUCAACGCUGGCGGCGUGCCUAACACAUGCAAGUCGAACGAGAAAGUGGGGGCAACCCCAUGAGUAGAGUGGCAGACGGGUGAGUAACACGUGAACAACCUUCCCUUGAGUGGGGAAUAACACUGCGAAAGUGAUGCUAAUACCGCAUAACAUCUCCGGGUCGCAUGAUUUGGAGAUCAAAAGCGAAAGUUGCUUGAGGAGGGUUCGCGCCUGAUUAGCUAGUUGGUGAGGUAACGGCCCACCAAGGCAACGAUCAGUAGCCGGCCUGAGAGGGCGAACGGCCACACUGGAACUGAGACACGGUCCAGACUCCUACGGGUGGCAG
RNAcentral lists this ribosomal RNA (326 nucleotides) under uncultured Acidobacteriota bacterium. RNAcentral describes it as "bacterial SSU rRNA". It matches the Rfam family "Bacterial small subunit ribosomal RNA", at positions 32 to 351 of the family's 1533-position model. The record is from RNAcentral. Lineage: Bacteria; Pseudomonadati; Acidobacteriota.